AAGGCAGAGGCAGACAGAAGAGGGAUAUUCUCUUUAGGGUGACUCUUUAGAGAGUACAGCUAGACUUGGACUUGG
Molecule: non-coding RNA, 75 nt
Organism: Arvicanthis niloticus (Nile rat)
Lineage: Eukaryota; Metazoa; Chordata; Mammalia; Rodentia; Muridae
Source: RefSeq, a predicted model, not a curated record